AAACUGCCCCCACCCCCACACCCCCCUACACCACCAGCCUGCAGCAGGCAACCCACUUGGGUCUCCUUCCAUGCUGUGGAAGCUUUGUUCUUUUGCUCUUUAGGUUCGUGCCAACUUUAAGCUGUAACACUCAGGGCGAAGGUCCGCAGCUUCAUUCUUGAAGUCAGCGUAGACCACGAACCCACCGGAAGGAACCAUAUUCCGGACACACCAGGACCCUGGGUGUGUUGGGGCCCACAAUACCAUACUCCAAGAUGAAAGUCUCAGAAGCAGCUCCAGAAAUAAGUUUUUCUAUGACCUUCUGCCCUUUUGUCUCUGGCCCCUUGUUCCCCCACAGGCUAGCCAUAGAAACUAGAACCUUUCCCCAAGGCGAGCCAUAGGAAUCAGAGCCCCUUUUCCCCACAGCCAGCCAUAAAACCCCAAAAUAUUGCUCUAAUCCCACCCCCUUUCUGUGUAAAAACUGGUCAUAAAGAAAUUAACCUACCUUGUUUGACUGUGGGUCAUAAGAUCCCCAUUCCGGAGAGAGUCCUGCCCCACACCCAGAAAAAAAGGGACUGCUGCAGAGACAGGCCAAGAAGAAUCUACACAAACAGGCCUUGCUGGGUUCCCCCACUCGGGCUGUUAGCACUACAUCACACCCUUUUUGUCCAAUCAUAUUUCUAUACAGCUGUCCAUACUUUGUUGAACCUAAGCAAAGAAAGGGACAAUCUCCUGUGAAAGGAAGAUAAAUCUUCCCCAAAUCACUAAGCCAAAGGGAAAAGUCAAGUUUGGAACAGCGUUGGGCAAACCUGCCUCUCAUUCUAUUCCUAAAUAAGAUAGCUACAAAGAUAAAAAAAAUAAAAAUUAAAAAAAAAAGGCUACAUACCUCCUUCACAAUUUGCCCACAAGGAAAUUCCUUGUGGACAAAGGACAGAACUCAAAGUCAUCCCUCUGCUCACAUGGGACAAAUGCAUAUGUGAUGACUUCCUUUGCCCUGUUGUUUCACACUAAUCCAGACUAAGGCAUAUUCCUGUAAAUUGUGCAUUCAGUGAAAGGCUAAUCAGAUACUCAAAAGAAUGCACCCGUUUAUGUCUUUUCUACCUAUGAUCUGGAAGCACCCCCCACACACAAAACUCUGAGUUGUUCCGCCUUUCCAGACUGAACCAAUGUAUUAAAUACAUCUUACAUAUAUUGAUUGACGUCUCAAGUCUCCCUAAAAUGCUUAGAACCAAGCUGUGCCCAACCACCUUGGGCACAUGUCAUCAGGACCUCCUGAAGCUAUGUUACGAGUGCUUCCCUAACCUUGGCAAAAUAAACGUUCUAAAUUGACUGAGACCUCAGGAGUUCGAGACCAGUCUGACCAACAUGGUGAAACCCCAUCUCUACUAAAAAUUCAAAAAUUAUUCGGGCAUCGUGGCAGGCGCCUGUAAUUCUAGCUACUCUGGAGGCUGAGGCAGGAGAAUCUCUUGAACUCAGGAGAUGGAGGCUGCAGUGAGCCGAGAUCAUGCCAUUGCACUCCAGCCUGGGCGACAGAGUGAGAAUGUCUCAAUAAAUAAAUAAAUCGACUGAGAUCUGCCUCAGAUAUUUGGGGUUCCAUACUCUGCUGUAUCUUGGGUCUUCAUUUUGCAGUUUCCUGUGUCACAUAAAACUAUGACCAAAUAAAUUUGUGUGACUUUUCUCCUAUUUGCCUUUUGUCAGCUGUUUUUUCAGCAAACCUUGGUUUCCAGAGUCUCUUUCAAAUCUUGCCUUUUGUGAUUAUGUCAUGAGUGGUGUAAGGUUAGCGAUAACCAGGUCCACGCAUGUUUGUGUCUUUCCACUGUAAACCAAAAAGUAUCCAAGACAGGUCUUCAACUUAGAAGUGUAUUUUGCCAAGGUUAAGGACAUACCUGGGAGACAGGUCUGUGUGUAACUGCCCGAGGGGUUCCUCCUGCCUGCUGCAUAAAGACCACAGCAUUGUAGUAGAGAAAGAGUUUAAUAGACAUGAGGCCAGCCUCACCACAUGGGAGAGGGAGUUCAUAUGCAAAUCAUCUUGUCCUAAGCUCACAGGUUAGG
This 2031-nucleotide long non-coding RNA is filed under the name Homo sapiens (human). RNAcentral describes it as "HSALNT0224217". Lineage: Eukaryota; Metazoa; Chordata; Mammalia; Primates; Hominidae. The record is from RNAcentral.